GUGCUUGCUUCAGAGGCACAUGUACUAAAAUUGGAAUGAUACAGAGAAGAUUGGCAUGGCCCCUGCGCAAGGAAUUAACCAAUGAAUGCAUAAAUAAGUGGAACAUAAAU
Small nuclear RNA from Artibeus jamaicensis (Jamaican fruit-eating bat), 110 nucleotides. Lineage: Eukaryota; Metazoa; Chordata; Mammalia; Chiroptera; Phyllostomidae. The record is from RefSeq and is a predicted model, not a curated record.